GACGAACGCUGGCGGCGUGCUUAACACAUGCAAGUCGAACGGAAAGGCCCUGCUUGCAGGGUACUCGAGUGGCGAACGGGUGAGUAACACGUGGGUGAUCUGCCCUGCACUUCGGGAUAAGCCUGGGAAACUGGGUCUAAUACCGGAUAUGACCUUCCAUGUAGUGUGGGGAGUGGAAAGAUUUAUCGGUGUGGGAUGAGCCCGCGGCCUAUCAGCUUGUUGGUGGGGUAAUGGCCUACCAAGGCGUCGACGGGUAGCCGGCCUGAGAGGGUGGACGGCCACAUUGGGACGGAGAUCCGCCCCAGACUCCUACGGGAGGCAGCAGUGGGGAAUAUUGCACAAUGGGCGGAAGCCUGAUGCAGCGACGCCGCGUGGGGGAUGACGGCCUUCGGGUUGUAAACCUCUUUCGACAGGGACGAAGCUUCGGUGACGGUACCUGUAUAAGAAGCACCGGCUCACUACG
This 463-nucleotide ribosomal RNA is filed under the name uncultured bacterium. RNAcentral's name for it is "partial 16S ribosomal RNA". It matches the Rfam family "Bacterial small subunit ribosomal RNA", at positions 28 to 505 of the family's 1533-position model. The record is from RNAcentral.